UACAGAGGGUGCAAACGUUGUUCGGAAUUACUGGGCGUAAAGCGAGUGUAGGCGGUCUUAUAAGUCGGAUGUGAAAGCCCUGGGCUCAACCCAGGAAGUGCAUUCGAAACUGUGAGACUCGAGUAUCGGAGAGGUUGGUGGAAUUCUCGGUGUAGAGGUGAAAUUCGUAGAUAUCGAGAGGAACACCGGUGGCGAAGGCGGCCAACUGGACGAAUACUGACGCUGAGACUCGAAAGCGUGGGGAGCAAACAGG
Molecule: ribosomal RNA, 253 nt
Filed under: uncultured bacterium
Lineage: Bacteria
Description: partial 16S ribosomal RNA
Rfam family: Bacterial small subunit ribosomal RNA
Source: RNAcentral